RNAcentral lists this ribosomal RNA (484 nucleotides) under uncultured bacterium. RNAcentral describes it as "partial 16S ribosomal RNA". It matches the Rfam family "Bacterial small subunit ribosomal RNA", at positions 30 to 507 of the family's 1533-position model. The record is from RNAcentral.
AUUGAACGCUGGCGGCAGGCCUAACACAUGCAAGUCGAGCGGAUGAAGGGAGCUUGCUCCUGGAUUCAGCGGCGGACGGGUGAGUAAUGCCUAGGAAUCUGCCUGGUAGUGGGGGAUAACGUCCGGAAACGGGCGCUAAUACCGCAUACGUCCUGAGGGAGAAAGUGGGGGAUCUUCGGACCUCACGCUAUCAGAUGAGCCUAGGUCGGAUUAGCUAGUUGGUGGGGUAAAGGCCUACCAAGGCGACGAUCCGUAACUGGUCUGAGAGGAUGAUCAGUCACACGGGAACUGAGACACGGUCCAGACUCCUACGGGAAGCAGCAGUGGGGAAUAUUGGACGAUGGGCGAAAGCCUGAUCCAGCCAUGCCGCGUGUGUGAAGAAGGUCUUCGGAUUGUAAAGCACUGUAAGUUGGGAGGAAGGGCAGUAAGUUAAUACCUUGCUGUUUUGACGUUACCAACAGAAUAAGCACCGGCUAACUUCGUG